GGGUGCGAUCAUACCAGCACUAAUGCACCGGAUCCCAUCAGAACUCCGCAGUUAAGCUAAGCGUGCUUGGGCGAGUACUAUGUUGGGUGACCACUUGGGAAGUACUCGUGUUGCACCCC
This is a ribosomal RNA of Cucurbita maxima (winter squash), 119 nucleotides long. The record is from RefSeq and is a predicted model, not a curated record. NCBI's taxonomy places the organism in Eukaryota, Viridiplantae, Streptophyta, Magnoliopsida, Cucurbitales, Cucurbitaceae.